CGUUACAGAUCCCUGCGUGUACUCGAAACUCAUCACUGAAACUUUAAAUAUUUUUUCUUUUCCCAGAGGAAAGUGGGAGUGAGCUUAAUGAAGAAAUGAGCUUAAUGAGCAAGGACUCUGACCGAAACAAUAGCAUGCGAGGGAUGGCUUUUGGCAUUCAUUUGAACCUGCUGAAGUGAUUUCUAAGCCUUCAGGUAAAUCCUGUGAGAGCCUCCCUUCUCUUAGUGGAAGCCAAGUUGCAAGAAGAGCAGCGAUAAAGAAAAUGAAACCUGGAGGAAGGAGUUUCUCAGGAUCAUAUGACUAGCAAAAAAUGGAGCCACAACAUGAAUUCAGAUCUUCUGAUUUCAGUAAGCAAGAUAUUGUAAGGGGCCAUUAAAACUUAUAUUUUCCCAUCAGCCCCUAGAUUAUAGGUCAGGUUUCUGGCUAUGAUGAUAAAUUCUCAUCACUCUCUUUCCAGUAUUCUUACUUUGGAAGAUAAGAUAUUCAGGAUGCUUACUGGGCAGAGGACAAAAGAAAGGUGUCCACAUCUCCAAUUCCCAUCAGAUGAGCUAUUUUAGAAACCUGCAGCAAGUCGGUCUGGCUCUUCCUGAAAAGGGAAGGAAAGAUCCAUAUUGAGAGACACAUAGAAUUGGACAAGAUUGAGUAAGCCCUGCACUCAAGAAAGACUUCCAGCUCAUCUCCAUUCCUCUUCUAUCCUCAAUCCUCCUCAAUCCCCUACUCCACUUCCUCCUACAACCUGGGCACUGGAAUUAAUGCAUUAUGUUGCCUGAUUUGGAGUUGAAAGGAAUGUUGGAGGCCAUCCAGUUGAAUCCUCUUAUUUUACAGCUGAGGAAACAGAGGCUCAGAGCUAAAAUUAUGUGCUCAAGGUCACUUUCAAAAAGAAGAAUAAUGUCUAAAAAAGGAAGUUCAGAAAUUUUGCAUUAACUUGGACAAAAAUUUGGAACUUGAGAGAUGUGUUCUGUUCUCUAGAGGUUCCCCCACAAUGCAUUUUGGUCUGCACAGAGAGUGAGGCUCAUUAACCAGUAAUAUUAUCUGCUGCUUUUAGAUGACACAUCUAUCCCUUGUAAUCAUGGCUGUAAUACUUGAGAGUCUGAUCAUAAACACAUUUUCAUAACACUUGCAGAGAUUAAUGAGUGAUAAUUACUUUAUUCAGUGGCAAAACCUUGGUUUAGAGUACAUGUCAGAGUAGCAAUUUCUGCUAUUCAUAUUCUUAAAUGAAGCCAUGUAAUGGAUUACUUCCAACCUCAAGUUUGUUCAGAUCCAUUUUCAAACACUCUUCAGUUUCCUAGCCAGUUGGGUCAUUACUCAAAUUUUUAGCAUCUGCCAUCAUCAGACUGCAGUUGUCUUUGCCAUCCUGACAUUAAAUGAACUACCAUUUAAGUGCUGCAGUUUCAGGAGCAGCAAGGAGAAGCUUUGAAAUGUCAUAGAGGAUGGUUUUAAUUGCAACCUAGUAGUCUGAGCCCAAGACAGUGCUUGAAUUUGAUAAUUUCUUCUUAAGCAAAGGAAUCACAUUCACAUGGGCAGCAAAU
Molecule: long non-coding RNA, 1529 nt
Filed under: Monodelphis domestica (gray short-tailed opossum)
Lineage: Eukaryota; Metazoa; Chordata; Mammalia; Didelphimorphia; Didelphidae
Description: lncRNA (ENSMODG00000035788.2)
Source: RNAcentral